GACGAACCGAGCGAACGUUAUUCGGAAUCACUGGGCUUAAAGGGCGCGUAGGCGGGCCGCCAAGUCAGGGGUGAAAGCCCCCAGCUCAACUGGGGAAGUGCCUUUGAUACUGGCGGUCUCGAGGGGGGUAGGGGCGUGCGGAACUUCCGGUGGAGCGGUGAAAUGCGUAGAUAUCGGAAGGAACACCGGUGGCGAAAGCGGCGCGCUGGAUCCCUUCUGACGCUGAGGCGCGAAAGCCAGGGGAGCGAACGGG
This 253-nucleotide ribosomal RNA is filed under the name uncultured bacterium. RNAcentral's name for it is "partial 16S ribosomal RNA". It matches the Rfam family "Bacterial small subunit ribosomal RNA", at positions 524 to 776 of the family's 1533-position model. The record is from RNAcentral.